Molecule: ribosomal RNA, 437 nt
Filed under: uncultured bacterium
Lineage: Bacteria
Description: bacterial SSU rRNA
Rfam family: Bacterial small subunit ribosomal RNA
Source: RNAcentral
GUGACGAAGCGACGCCGCGUGUGGGAAGAAGGCCUUCGGGUUGUAAACCACUGUCAGGAGUUAAGAAAUGUAAGGGUGCUAAUAGUAUCCUUACUUGACUAAGGCUCCAGAGGAAGCCACGGCUAACUCUGUGCCAGCAGCCGCGGUAAUACAGAGGUGGCAAGCGUUGUGCGGAAUUAUUGGGCGUAAAGAGCACGUAGGCGGUUCUGCAAGUCGGCUGUGAAAGCCUUCCGCUCAACGGAAGAACAGCAGUUGAUACUACAGGACUAGAGUGCGGGAGGGGAGAGUGGAACUUCUGGUGGAGCGGUGAAAUGCGUAGAUAUCAGAAGGAACGCCGGCGGCGAAAGCGACUCUCUGGCCCGUAACUGACGCUGAGUGUGCGAAAGCUAGGGGAGCAAACGGGAUUAGAUACCCCGGUAGUCCUAGCCGUAAACGAU